CAAGAGAUGGUCCUUUGUCCACACACCAUACCAUACUGCGUAUUCCAAUUCUUUGAGAGGCUCUUUUCUUUAGUUUAUGGUCUGGCUUUAAUUCUCCUAUGGCCAAUCAACUUGUCCCUUCUUCUUCCUUCACCACUACUCCUUCAUGGACAUACGAUGUCUUUUUAAGUUUCAGAGGUGAGGAUACACGCUACAAUUUUACAGAUCAUCUAUACCAAGCCUUGGUCCGUCAUGGAAUCCACACCUUCAUUGAUCAUAGUGAACUUCCAAUAGGAGAAAAAAUAGCACCAACUCUUCUUGAAGCAAUUGAAAACUCGAGAAUUUCUGUCAUCAUAUUCUCUGAAAACUAUGCUUCUUCAAGAUGGUGCUUGGACGAGCUCGUACAUAUUCUUGAAUGUAGAAAGUCAAAGGGACAGAUGACAAGGUCAAUCUUCUACAAGGUGGAUCCAUCGGAUGUCCGACACCAAAGAAAUAGUUAUGAUGCUGCGUUUGCUGACCAUAGCCUCAAAUAUGAGAAUAACCUGGAGAAGGUGCAAGGAUGGAGGACAGCUCUUACAGAAGCAGCAGAUCUGAAGGGAGCUACUCUCAACAAGGGAGAGUAUGAAGCUGCAUUUAUUAACAACUUCAUUGCGGAGAUUUCAACCGAACUAUUAAAUCGCACAUAUUUGCAUGUGGCUAGUUACCCAGUUGGAAUAGAGUCUUGUGUAAAAAUGGUGGAAAUGCUUUUAGGUGUCGGUGGAAAUGAUCGUCGUGUAGUUGGGAUUUGGGGGACAUCUGGAAUAGGCAAGACAGCAAUUGCAAGAGCGGUUUAUAAUGCAAGUGCUCAUAAGUUUGAUGGUAGUUGUUUUCUGGCAAAUGUUAGAGAAACAUUGACAUUGAAUGAUGGCGUAAUCAAACUACAAAACACUCUUCUAUCUAAAAUUCUAUGUGGUAAAAAGUGGAAAAUUGUCGAUGUUCAUCAGGGAAUCAACCUUAUUAAGAAUCGGUUGAGGCAAAAGAAGAUUCUCUUAAUUCUUGAUGAUGUGGAUAAAUUGGGGCAGUUAAAAGACUGGGUCGAUGUCGAUUGUUUCGGUGAGGGUAGCAGAGUGAUCAUAACCACAAAAGAUAGAAAAUUGCUUAACUUUUAUGGAGGUCAGUGGAUAUAUGAAGUCCAAAAGUUAGAAGACGACAAAGCACUUGAGCUUUUUAGUUGGAAUGCCUUCAAAAGAAAUAGACCUCCAGAUGAUGAUUAUUUGAGACUCGCACAACGUGCAAUAGACCAUGCUCAGGGCCUUCCGUUGGCUCUUAAUCUAAUGGGUUCUUAUCUGCGCAAUGAAAGUAUAGGUCGUUGGCAAGAUGUAUUGAACAGUUACGAUUCUUACGGUGGAGAACCUUAUACAGAACCUUAUACAGAUAUUCAAAUAAUACUUCGAAAAACUUAUGAUGCCUGGGAUUGUAACUUGCAAAAAGUUUUCCUAGACAUUGCAUGUUUUUUUAAGGGUGAAAAUAAAGACUACGUGUUACAAAUAUUAAGAAGUUCGACGCUCAAAGUACGUCAAGAUUGUAUUGAAGUACUUGUUGAGAAAGCCAUCAUAACUAUUGAAUAUAAUCGGAUUUUGAUGCAUGACUUGUUAGAAAAAAUGGGUAAGCAUAUAGUUUACGAAGAAUCAUCCACUGAACCAGGCAAGCGGAGUAGGUUGUGGCAUCAUGAAGAUGUGCGUGAUGUUCUAAUUGAUUGCAAAGGGACAGAGAAAAUUAGAGGCAUUGUUGUGAAUCUGCCCAAACCAGAUGAGAUACCCUUGAAUCCAAAAAGCUUCUUGAAGAUGGUAAAUCUUGAAUUUUUUAUAAACUAUAAUGCACACUUUUCAGGACGGGUUGAUUAUCUGUCCAACAGUUUGAGGUUGAUUGAAUUCGGUGGACGACUCAAUAUUGAUCAAAAGCAUACGUAUGUGCUCAAUUUGCGGUCCAAUUUUCAUCCAAGACAUCUCGUUAAGUUUGAUGUGUCAUACAGUGGCAUAAGACAAUUGAAGGAAUUUAAGAAUUUGGCAAAGCUUACAUGGAUGAAUUUAAGUGGUUGCGAAUUCUUGGAAAAAAUCCCCGACUUAUCCGGAAGCCCAAACAUAAGGAAGUUGGAUCUAAGAGGCUGCACAAGUUUGGUCGAGGUUCAUGAUUCAGUUGGAUGCCUUGAUAAACUUGAAGUCUUGUAUCUUACUGGGUGCUCUAAGCUUACGGGGUUUGCAAAAAGACUUGGAUUGAGGUCCCUACGUUUUCUUAAUCUCAAUGGUUGUAGAAGUCUCAAGAGUUUCCCAGAAAUAGAGGGCAAGAUGGAAUCCCUACGCUAUUUGGAUAUGGAAGAAAGUGGCAUAAGAGAAUUGCCAUCAAUUGCUUAUUUUACUAACCUUGAGCGUUUGAACGCAAGUGGUAGUGAGUUGCAAAAUAUCCAACUCCUCCCUUUUGGAAAGAAGGUGAAGUUCGAUGAAGUUUCAUCCUGCAGUACCGAUGUACAUCUGUAUCUUGAUCUUUCAGGAUGCAAUUUAUCAGAAAGUGAUUUCCUUGUGCCUCUUGUUUGCUGGUCCGCAUUAGAAGAACUUGAUCUGUCGAGAAACAAUUUUGUUAGCCUUCCGGAUUGUAUUAGCAAAGUUGUCAACUUGGAGUUACUUUGCUUGUGGGAUUGCAAGAGGCUUCGGGAAAUUCCAGUCCUUCCACCAAAACUAGAAGAGUUACAUCUGCCGGAUUGCACGUCAUUGGAGAAAAUUCCAAAACUGCCGCCGAGGCUUCAGUUUCUUAACUUGUAUAACUGCUCUGGACUAAGUGGCGAUGAGGUGGCAAAGUUCGAAAACAACUUGUUGAAUGAGGAAAUUCGUCCGUGCUAUGACUUCCGCACUAUUUACCCAGGCAAUGAAGUUCCAAAAUGGUGCAGCUAUACAUCUAACCAUCCCACAACCUUUCAACCUCUACCAGAAUAUGAAUCGGAUGAAGAUGACUGGGACAAAACAUUUGCUGGAGGCAAUGAAUUUCGUUUUGAAUUUCCUCUAAAAUUACAAGUGGGGGAGAUGUUAGUAGGAUUGGCUCUAUGUUUUGUUGUUGAACCAUCGACUAAGCUUGAUUGUGGUAUUUACCCGUCUAUUAUCAUCAACGGAAAAAAAUUGCUUCGUUAUGAUAUUCGUCCAUGGCAUGGCCCACUAAUGAACGAAGUUAAUUUAUGGUAUGAUGAGGACAUAUGGGCAACUCAUGUGAGGCUUGCGUUAAUGUCUUUAUGGGACUUUGCCCUGAAACCGGGGGUACAUAUUUGUCAAUUUGUAUUUCGAUUCCAGAAUGGGUGUCCCGUUAAAAGCUGCGGCGUGCACUGCCUAUUGAGACCAACGAGCAGUCUUGGGAUGAGGCCUCAUCCACGUGGAUCCUCAGAUAUUGUCGAUGAUGAAUAUGAUCAGGAACUGCAAUGGAUCAAGUUAGUUUCUGGUAUUGAGGAGGAUGAGGAGCAAGAGCAACCGUCCGACUGAGAUGAUCAUCCAAAACGCUGGCAGAUUGAUCUCAAUGUUCCCUUUGAUAUUGAGGAUGAGGAGCAGCUUCACUUGUCUCUGAGACCAACGACCAGCCUUAGGAAGAGGCCUCGCCCACGUGGAUCCUCAGAUAUUGUCGAUGAUGAAUAUGAUCAGCAACAACAAUGGCUUUCCUCAUCUUCGGAGCCAGCAGAAGAUCAUCCAAAACGUAGGCAGAUUGAUCCCAAUGUUCCUAUUGAUCUUGAGGAGGAUGAAGAGCAGCUUCACUUGUCUCUGAGACCAACGAGCAGUCUUGGGAUAAGGCCUCGUCCAUGUGGAUCCUGAGAUAUUGUCAAUGAUAAAUAUGAUCAGCAACAACAAUGACUUUCCUCAUCUUUGGAGCCAGCAGAUGAUCGUCCAAAACGCUGGCAGAUUGAUCCCAAUGUUCCUUUUGAUACUGAGGAGGAUGAGGAGCAAGAGCAACCGUCCGAUUCAGAUGAUUCGCAUUUCUGAUUAAUUAGGAGUUUGGGGGUUAGAGAAUGCCUCGUUCGGACGAUCAACAUGGGUUAUCAAAAUCUUAUUCAGGAGAGCGAUUUUCUCCGGAUUGUCUUAGCUUUAUAAGGCCAAUCCCUCAACCUCUUGCCAGUUGGCCCUAUUGUUGAGGAUGCAAAGGCAUUGCUAGACCAGAUCACUAGAGUUGUCAUCACCCAUAUAUGCCGCCAAGCGAAUGAAGCAGCGCACUGUCUAGCCCGCUCGACACUUCUUUGUAAUGGUUUUUUUUUCUUGGUCUGAAAAACCUCCUGAUCUCUCUUUUGUGUAUAUCUCUUCGUCCAUUUGGUCUUUCAAUAAAACACUGCUGAUUUUCAAAAAUAAAUAAAUAAAUAAAUAAGAAGGUGAACCCUUUCUGUGUGCCUUUCACAACCACAAAUAUGGGUUCUGCCGUGCUCGCCAUGGAUCCUGCGAGAUUAUAAGAUAUAUGUAUUCGAUGCAAUACUCUUACAAUUCGUGAUGGCUGCUGAUUUUGUACUUGUCCUUUUAACUGAUAUCUACUCUUACACUUGCAGGGUUGGAUGGUCCCAAACUAUUCAACCUCUACUGCUUGUGCUACAAGCAGCUUCCGUACUUUGAAUUCGGCAAAUCAUUUCAUUAAAGCCAAUGCAAACCAUGGUGGCCUUGUUAUGGGGGAUGGAGCUGGCGUUUUGCCUCUAGAAGAGUUAGAACAUGCUAAGGGGCCGGGGUUAUUCUUUGCAUUGAAAAGGCUUUAGAACAGUCUGGGGUGUCUAGGGAAGAUGUUAAUUACAUUAAUGCACAUGCUACAUCCGCGCCGGCCGGAGAUCUCAAGGAAUAUAAUGCUCUGAUUCAUUGUUUUGGCCAGAAUCCUGAGUUGAGAGUGAACUCUACAAAGCCCAUGAUUGGUCACCUACUGGGAGCAUGUGGUGCUGUAGAAGCUGUUGCAGCACUACAGGUAACUUACGUGAUGUUUUCAACUUGGAAAAACUGUACAGUUUUUAGACCUUAUAUACGCAAGGACCAAGUACAAUUCUUGUUUGUUUGGCUUGAAGUGUAGUUCUUGACAUGUUAUCUUCUUUUUGGGUAGACGAUACGAACUGGGCGUGGUAUGUUGUCUUCGACUCCCCUUGUCGCACUUUGACAAGUAUAUAAUGUCCAAUGAAAGUAUAUUUGGAAUC
This is an RNA transcript of Pyrus x bretschneideri (Chinese white pear), 5146 nucleotides long. It is a transcript of the gene named disease resistance protein RUN1, with no coding region annotated. The record is from RefSeq and is a predicted model, not a curated record. The transcript is spliced from 9 exons. NCBI's taxonomy places the organism in Eukaryota, Viridiplantae, Streptophyta, Magnoliopsida, Rosales, Rosaceae.